UUUUUUUCUUUCCUUAACCGCCGCCGCCCCGAGCGUUUUUUUCUUACUAGGCCGAAUCCCACUCCGAGGGAUCCCCAGAUCCCUUAAUAUCGGCCACCCCUCCCCCUGCCUUUUCCCUCCCUCCUCCUGACCGACCAGUGGGCUCCCACCCGAACUCUCUCCUCCCCACGUUGUCACCUUCCUCUCCCCUCGUCUCCUUCCUUUUCUUCUGCACCCGAGAAACAGCGAUUCCCUCCUCGAUUUUAUUCUCCCUCUCCUUCCUUAAGCCCC
RNAcentral lists this long non-coding RNA (270 nucleotides) under Hordeum vulgare. RNAcentral's name for it is "long non-coding RNA (HVUL_LNC004638)". Lineage: Eukaryota; Viridiplantae; Streptophyta; Magnoliopsida; Poales; Poaceae. The record is from RNAcentral.